Long non-coding RNA from Calidris pugnax (ruff), 2072 nucleotides. RefSeq lists it as uncharacterized. The transcript is spliced from 6 exons. NCBI's taxonomy places the organism in Eukaryota, Metazoa, Chordata, Aves, Charadriiformes, Scolopacidae. The record is from RefSeq and is a predicted model, not a curated record.
AAUUUCCUUGCUUUUAAGAAGUCGUGCUGUGUUUGAAAAAGAUUUAAAUUACUGAGGUUUCACUCUUCAGGUGCUUUUUCCUCAAUUUGGAUACUCUAAUACUAUCAUUUUCAAGACCAGAAAAUGCUCAUAACAGGAACAAUUGUUGAAGAAAAGACAGACCCAGAAGAUGACGUGACUUCCCACUGCUUGAUAUAAAUCUUCUCUGAUACAAAAUGAGUUGAGCUGCAGUGAACUUAAAUGCUAAUGCUGAAGACAUCAAGUAACCUGCUGUUUAGUAUCAGAAAGUUUUAACUUUGGCUGACUCCAGCAUCUUCCUUGUUCCACGAUUUGUAUGGCUGGCACCUGUAGCUGUACUGGGGAAUUACUCAAGUGCCAUGGUCUCCUCAAAUUGGAUUCCCUCUUGCAACUUUGUCUAAGGCUGUUUGGAAAUGGAAAUUAAUAUCAAUACAUUCUCCUUUCACUGGUGUUUUGGUGCACUUUUCAGGAAGCAUGAAGUAAAGGAAUGACAGGAUUUUUCUUUACAAAAGUGCAUCUACACACUGAUUUAGCAAACUGCAUAUGAAAGGAGGGAUGUAAACAGACUUUGACUGUGCCUAUAUGGAGAUCUUGGACCCUGUCAUGCCUUGUAUUGACCUGGAGGUCAACCAGAACAUGCUUAUUCUGGAGCAGAACAAUAAAAUGGAGAUAACAGAACAGGAACCUGAUCCCUUGGCUGAGUAUAAACUGUGUGUCAUGUAGCCAUUAUGUCCAGUGCUUGUUUCAUAGCUAUGGCAUCCCAUCUGAGAUAUAACAUCUGAUUGUGAAGUGUCUGAUGUCUGUCUCAGGGCAAGGUGAAGCAAGCCUUAACUACAGUUGGCUGUUUAGGAUACCUAUCAAAGUUCUGAAACAGACUAAAAAUGCCAGUCCAUUUGUGCUGGAAGAUGGUUCAAAAGGCUGCUCUUCAUCAUUUCUCAACUGUUCGUUGACCUUCCAGCUGAGAUGAGAGGUGGUGCAGACCCAUGGUACACAAUAGCAGGUCAAGUGUAAACAUAAGAUUGAUGCAAUAGCAAUUUGCCAUGGAGAAGAGUGAGAUAAAGUAUGUAUUCAGAUAGUCCUAGAGAGAGUUUUUCAUGUCACUUGGAGCUUGUUUAGUUUGUCUAGUAAAGAGAUAAUACUUAUGCGGAUUUUAGUGGUCUUUUAUUUAAAAAGUCUUGCAGUAGGAUUACUGCUUUUCUGUGCUUUGGAAUGGUAUUAAUAACUCUCUGAAUGCUGUGGGGAUCCAUGCUUAAUUCAUGUAACAGUUAUCAGCUUAAACUUGAGGUUGAUUUAUUCCACUUGCAAGCUGUAGGGUAUGGGAAGUUGCUUUCUGCACAGAAUGGGUUAUGUGUAGCUUAUGGAAGGACAGAAAUUCUUUGUGUAAAGUGUGAGGAUAACUGCUCAGACUGUCUCGUCCAAUGAUUGAAGCAGUGGUAAUUUAUCACUUUGGAAGAAAAAAAAAUAAAUUGUGGAUUUAAAAAAAAAAAUUUUUAUUCACAUAAAACUCAGAAUUGACUUCGUGUAAAAGUGUCAAACUUACUUUACAGUCUUACUUUCAUCAAUGUUACCUUGGCUGUCCUGUAUUAGACUUUCCAAUAAUACAUUCUAUGUGAGCAGUUGAGCAUGAUUGAUGGUGUGUGGAUUUUUCAGCAGCAACUGGGACUAGUGGCUACAUAUAACUAGGCAAGAAUUUGUUUAGUCAUGGAAACAGUAAGAGGAGAUGUAUGCACAGUGUAUAUACACAUUUUUCUGUGGACUACUGAUGCUGAAUUUAUCACUCUUCCAGUUUAUCACAGUUCCAGUUCAGUUUAUGAUAUUGACAUCCCAAAUAAUAAUAAAAUGGUAAAUCAAAUUUUUAAGGUAUCUAAGUACACUCAGUUGUGUCUGGUUUUGUUGCUACUACUAUAAAUUUUGGUUUGAAGGGGAAAAUUAAGUUACUAAAUUUUCCUUUUCUCUCUGUCACCAUCAGUUGUCUCCACCUUUUCUGCAGGACUGUUACCAGUAUUCCCUUUAUGCAAUUUUUCCUGUUUUUAGGUCAUUGUUAUCUGGCAUCA